Non-coding RNA from Poecilia reticulata (guppy), 468 nucleotides. NCBI's taxonomy places the organism in Eukaryota, Metazoa, Chordata, Actinopteri, Cyprinodontiformes, Poeciliidae. The record is from RefSeq and is a predicted model, not a curated record.
CGAAACUCGGCCCGCUCCGCCAUGACAGACGUUAAAGUCCGUCUAAAAACAGACAUUUAGUAGCCUAAUAUCGGUUUUUCAUAGCUGAUUUAACUUUAAACUGGCUACGAGGUCGGCAGCAUAAACAGACAAGGAUACAAACCAAACUUGUUAUUUUAUUUUCUGAAUUUUAACGAAGAAAGAUGGCGGCGAUGGAUAGCAGAGGUUACACAGGCAGCCGUUAAUCGUUUUGAUUGGCAGCUCUCGGUGUAAUCACACGUUUACAAGGCCCGCUCUGAGGGAUGAGGAGGAUUAUACAUCAGGAGUGUGAUGCUGUUGACACUCCUGUCGCCUUUACAGCACCGACAUGCCAAGGCCUGGACGCCUGCCCAGCCUCACUGCGUCCGAAUGUACAGAGGAGGGGAAAACAGGCAAGUUUGAGAGAUCAUUCUUUUGAAACCUGAGACCUGGUUGAUGGAAAUCCCAGUA